GCUGCAUGCUGUAUGGGGAGCUGCUGCACUCGUUCCUGCUCUGCUUCUCUCUCUUCUUACUGCCGUUCUGUGCAUGAAGAGGAAGAGAGGAGCAGAGAGAGACACAGACAUUCAGAGUGUUCCAAAGCCUGGAGAUGACACACACACAGCACCGAACCCCAUGAAUACGUCCCCGGAUUAUGACACUCUGCAACUAUGUCCUCUGAUUAUGAUACGCUGAGGGGUGUGGCUCCUUGACUCAGUGAGGAGAAGUACUCCAGAACUGCAGAAUGAGAACGAACAGUUGAGUUUGGUUAGUGACUUUACAUUCAGCAUCAUGAACAGCACAGGAAGGUGCUCAGGGUGAGAGUUUUAGGAUUAGAGUUGAGGAUUAGAGUUGAACGGCAUUAAGACGUCACAACAAACUAAAUUCUGUCUUAAGUAAGUGUCAUUUGUUUGUUAUUCAAGCAGCUCCUUUAGUUUCUCAGGUGUCUUUCUGCACAUUUAAUAUAUUAUACAGUAUACACACACGCACAUAUAUAAUGUGUGUAGCGGCUUGGGAAACCCCUUCACAUUUUCUACUAUAUAUUGCUCUACAGCUUUUCCUCAUCAUCGUCUCUUCACUCGACUGAUCUCUGUUCACGUUAACAUCGGUGUGGAAAUCAUCACUGAUUAAUUCAGUUACUUCUGUUCUGUUGACCAAAUUCCUUGUUACUGUCCUUUUAUCCAUUUACCUAAACAAUUUACUCUGUAAAUAUUAUUUUCAAACUGAUAAUGAUACCAAGCUCCAUGAAGACGAAUUCUACUUUGCCUGAUCUGUUACUGUCC
Molecule: long non-coding RNA, 807 nt
Organism: Ictalurus punctatus (channel catfish)
Lineage: Eukaryota; Metazoa; Chordata; Actinopteri; Siluriformes; Ictaluridae
Source: Ensembl